UACGUAGGGUGCGAGCGUUGUCCGGAAUUACUGGGCGUAAAGCGUGCGCAGGCGGUUUGUUAAGUCCGUUGUGAAAGCCCCGAGCUCAACUUGGGAAUUGCAGUGGAUACUGGCAGGCUGGAGUACGGUAGAGGAAGGUGGAAUUCCCGGUGUAGCAGUGAAAUGCGUAGAGAUCGGGAGGAACACCAGUGGCGAAGGCGGCCUUCUGGACCAGUACUGACGCUCAUGCACGAAAGCGUGGGGAGCAAACAGG
This 253-nucleotide ribosomal RNA is filed under the name uncultured bacterium. Its description in RNAcentral is "partial 16S ribosomal RNA". It matches the Rfam family "Bacterial small subunit ribosomal RNA", at positions 524 to 776 of the family's 1533-position model. The record is from RNAcentral.